AUGAGAACCUGCCCUUCGGGGUAGAUCUCCCACCCUUUGUAUACCAUACCAUUGUUGCUUUGUCUGGCCCGACUCUCGGGUCCGCCGGCCCUCGGGCUGGUCAGCGCCGGACAGAGGAAAUCAAACCCUUUUUUAAUUGUCGUCAGAGUACUAUUUAAUAGUUA
RNAcentral lists this unclassified non-coding RNA (164 nucleotides) under uncultured fungus. Its description in RNAcentral is "sequence contains ITS1, 5.8S rRNA gene". Lineage: Eukaryota; Fungi. The record is from RNAcentral.